RNAcentral lists this ribosomal RNA (165 nucleotides) under Oxalis magellanica. Its description in RNAcentral is "5.8S rRNA". It matches the Rfam family "5.8S ribosomal RNA". Rfam says of the family: 5.8S ribosomal RNA (5.8S rRNA) is a component of the large subunit of the eukaryotic ribosome. It is transcribed by RNA polymerase I as part of the 45S precursor that also contains 18S and 28S rRNA. Functionally, it is thought that 5.8S rRNA may be involved in ribosome translocation. The record is from RNAcentral. Lineage: Eukaryota; Viridiplantae; Streptophyta; Magnoliopsida; Oxalidales; Oxalidaceae.
AAAAUGACUCUCGGCAACGGAUAUCUCGGCUCUCGCAUCGAUGAAGAACGUAGCGAAAUGCGAUACUUGGUGUGAAUUGCAGAAUCCCGUGAACCAUCGAGUCUUUGAACGCAAGUUGCGCCCCAAGCCUUUAGGCCGAGGGCACGCCUGCUUGGGUGUCACACA